AAGCUCUUAGCUCAAUUGGUUCAGAGCAUCCCGACUUUACGUCGGGAGAGUCACUGGUUCGAAUCCAGUAGAGCCCA
This 77-nucleotide transfer RNA is filed under the name Fluviicola sp. RNAcentral describes it as "tRNA-OTHER". It matches the Rfam family "tRNA". Rfam says of the family: Transfer RNA (tRNA) molecules are approximately 80 nucleotides in length. Their secondary structure includes four short double-helical elements and three loops (D, anti-codon, and T loops). The record is from RNAcentral. Lineage: Bacteria; Pseudomonadati; Bacteroidota; Flavobacteriia; Flavobacteriales; Crocinitomicaceae.